GCUCGGUUGGUCUAGUGGUAUGAUUCUCGCUUAGGGUGCGAGAGGUCCCCGGUUCAAACCCGGGAUCGAGCC
RNAcentral lists this transfer RNA (72 nucleotides) under Sphaerulina populicola P02.02b. RNAcentral's name for it is "tRNA-Pro (AGG) (tRNA-Pro-AGG-1-1)". It matches the Rfam family "tRNA". From Rfam's summary of the family: Transfer RNA (tRNA) molecules are approximately 80 nucleotides in length. Their secondary structure includes four short double-helical elements and three loops (D, anti-codon, and T loops). Lineage: Eukaryota; Fungi; Ascomycota; Dothideomycetes; Mycosphaerellales; Mycosphaerellaceae. The record is from RNAcentral.